Molecule: ribosomal RNA, 877 nt
Filed under: Polypedates leucomystax (Java whipping frog)
Lineage: Eukaryota; Metazoa; Chordata; Amphibia; Anura; Rhacophoridae
Description: partial 16S ribosomal RNA
Rfam family: Bacterial large subunit ribosomal RNA
Source: RNAcentral
GAAACGCGUCAAAGCGUAACUUUAACACCCAAAAUACCAUUAAUUUUUAUGAACCCCUAAUUUAUAAUGAAUGACUCCAUAUUUAUAUGGAAGACACCAUGCUAGGAUUAGUAACAAGAAUUUAUAAUUCUCCAAAAUGCAAAUAUAAACCAACAUGGAUAGACCAUUGGUAGUUACCGAACCUAAAUUUAAUGCAAUAACAUCCACAAGAAAACUCUGCAGCACUCACUCGUUAACCUAACACCAGCGCAUUACAGGAAAGAUUCAAAAAAAGAGAAGGAAUUCGGCAAAUGACGGCCCCGCCUGUUUACCAAAAACAUCGCCUCUUGACUUAUAAUAAGAGGUCUAGCCUGCCCAGUGAAUUUUAAACGGCCGCGGUAUCCUAACCGCGCGAAGGUAGCAUAAUCACUUGUUCUUUAAAUGGGGACUCGUAUCAACGGCAUCACGAGGGUUUUACUGUCUCCUCUUUUUGAUCAGUGAAAUUGAUCUUCCCGUGAAGAAGCGGGAAUAUUUUUAUAAGACGAGAAGACCCCAUGGAGCUUUAAACCAAAUAACAACUUAACCACUUAUCCCAUAAUAAAUUUAACCCCUGUUAUAAGGUUUUUGGUUGGGGUGACCGCGGAGUAAAGCACAUCCUCCACGACGGAAAGAAUAAAAUCUUUAUUUAAGAACCACACUUCUAGAAAUUAGUAUACUAACGUUUACUGACCCGACAAUCGAUCAACGGACCAAGUUACCCUGGGGAUAACAGCGCAAUCUACUUCGAGAGCUCAUAUCGACAAGUAGGCUUACGACCUCGAUGUUGGAUCAGGGUAUCCCGGUGGUGCAGCCGCUACCGAAGGUUCGUUUGUUCAACGAUUAAAACCCUACGUGAUCU